This is a non-coding RNA of Acanthosepion pharaonis, 114 nucleotides long. The record is from the annotation of a GenBank genome assembly. NCBI's taxonomy places the organism in Eukaryota, Metazoa, Mollusca, Cephalopoda, Sepiida, Sepiidae.
UUGCGGCCAUAUCACGUCGAAACACUGGUACCUGUACGAUCACCGAAGUUAAGCGACGUUGACCCUGGUGAGUACCUAGAUGGGUGAUUGCUUGGGUAUACCAGGUGCUGUCAG